Molecule: non-coding RNA, 4175 nt
Organism: Pelobates cultripes (western spadefoot toad)
Lineage: Eukaryota; Metazoa; Chordata; Amphibia; Anura; Pelobatidae
Source: the annotation of a GenBank genome assembly
UUGAUUGCAAUUUUUUAUUAAUUUUUUAUUUUUAUAUUCACAGUAUAAAAUCCUUCAUAUACUUAUGCAGUAGUGAUCCUUCCAUAAUUAUACACUAUUUACUUUAUAAUUGUCAGGAAUUGACCAGGGGAUUGCGUACCCCCAACAAGCAAAUCGCAUCACUGAUGCCCCUAAAGGAAAUAGACCUACCCAGAAAGGAGACAGGUCUGCCCAAAGAUUUGGCAGAUCAGCCUAUGAUGAAUGCAAGCCAGGCGGCUGCAAAUCAAGCAUGCAGUCCCACUAAGGAUAGUGCCUUGAGCAUAGCAGAGCACGUCUUAUGAUGCAUGCUUUCUGGGGACAGUUUCCUGGUGUCCCUGAAAUUGGAACACCAGGGAAUAAAGUUGGUACAGCGGUACAUGACCAUAAAAUCAGGGCAGUUCAGCAGAAAUCAGGACAGUUGAGAUAGAAACACAGCUGAGAUGCAAAUAUAUAUCCACAUUACCUAUUUUUGCAAAUAAUUGCAAUUCCCUCGUAAAUUUCUGACAUUUUUAAAUUCUACCUCAUGAGGACGGUGGUCAUUUCACAAUCAAAUUGCACAUUUUAGGCAAAUUAGACAACACAGAAAAAAAUCUAGGAUCCAGUUAUUUUCAAAGGUUGUGAAGUUUGGCCUAAAUUUUUCUUGUCAUUUCUACACAUUCCCAGUUUAGUAAGAAAAUAUGUUAAUGGUAUCUUGUCUUCAAAAGUCAUAAGAAGCUAAUGCAUAUAUUAAUUGAUUAGAAUUAUAUUUAAACCAACAUACUUGUCAUUACUAAGAAGAAUUUCAGUUUUACAAAAAUAUUCAGUACAUUAAAAUAGCUUUCCAUUAAAUCGUCGAUCUGCUUGUAAAUCAAACGCUAGAUCCAGAGGAAGAGGUUACUUGUUCAUUUAAUACCAGAACCGCCAGCACGGAGUGCAACUCAUCCGUCCAACACUACCCACUGCCUAAAGAUGCGUUUACAAUUUCAAUCAAGCAUUAUCCUACCCCAGAAACAACAUAUAGGAUGUACAUUUGCAUAUAAUCAUUCCCACAUCAUCAUCUUAUUAGAGUUCUUGUUUUGUAUUCCACAUUCCCAAACAAUUUUACCACAGUCAAUUUUGAGAGCACACAUUUUUAUAUAAAGCAUUUCAUUAAUAAAAAAAAACAAAAGCACAGGAAAACAUUUAAAACAUUUCCGAUUAGCAAACCAGUACAUGUAACGUGGCCUGAAUAAUUGUUCAAAAUAAUAGGACACAAUAACAUUAGGAGAUACGAAAUUGGAAAAAGGUGGAUGGGCCUAUGGAGUGUCCCAUUUAUACCACUUACAUCACUUGUAGCGUCCAAAAUUGAUGAUCCUGCCUAAAAGUGAGUGGGUCACCAAAAGAAGAGGUGUUUUUGCCUGACAUGUAUGUCUGCUAGGCUGAAUGAGAGCCUCCCAGUGAAGUAGUUUUGCCUCUUUGCUACUUUUUAUUGCUUGAUUUCCAAAUAACAUAUUUUCCCCAAUAAUGAAAUAGUAAAACCUUGAGCCCACCAAGUAUUUAUCAUCAGUACACUAAGAUUGUCAAACGUGUACAAUCAAACAUUAACCGACCACAGGAAUAAUAUAUAGGAUGUACCUUUGCCUAUAAUCAUUCCCCCAACAUCAUCUUAUUUUUGGUCUUUGAGGUUUCCCACAACCCUUUGUGCCCUUGUUCUUCUCAUGUUUCCUACUUUUCCUCACUUGUUUCACUUAGAAGCCUCUCUUUCUGUCAUUUUCUCAUUUUAAAGAGACAAUAUAGUCACCAGAACAACUACAGCUUAUUAAAUUUGUUCUGGUGAGUAGAAUCAUUACCUUCAGGCUUUUUGCUGUAAACACUCUCUUUUCAAUGAAAAUGCAGUGUUUACAUUACAGACUAGUGAUAACUUCACUGGCCACAUCUAAGACGGCUGCUGGAGCUGCUUCCUAUCUCAGUCUUGCCUGGUGUGCAUCCAAACAUUCAGUGUCUCCUCCCUCUGCAUGCAGACACUGAACUUUCCUCGCAGAGAUUCAUUGAUUCAAUUCAUCUCUAUGAGGAGAUGCUGAUUGGCCAGGACUGUUCCUGACCCUAUAGUGUUUCUUAAAUUAAUUACUCUUCUUUUAUUUAUUUUUUUCACUUUUCUUUAUUACUUAAUUAGGUUGCAUUACAUAUUUGUUUCUUACAUACUGCAUGUUCAUGCUCAGUAACUUUGAAACAUUUGUAGUAUUGCUUUUCUAUGUAUCUGUGACAUGGACUGAACAAUCCAACGAUGUAUAUGCUACAUUAUUGCUUUUUUGUUCUGUUUUUUUUUAAAAUCUUUAAUACAUUUUAUUUUGAAAAAAGAAUAACAAUAUACAUUAACACAAAUAUAUAUAUAUAUACAUACAAGGGUUUUAUUGAUUUUCAAUUAAAGGGAUUCUCCAGUGCCAGGAAAACAAACCCGUUUCCCUGGCACUAGAGAAUCCUGGAGUGUCCCCCUCCCUCCUCGCUGAAGGGGUUAAAAUCCUCUGUGCUGGGUUAGGCUCCGCCCACGCUCCUCCCGGAGGCUGACAUCGGCAGGAGAGACCUGAUACGCAUGUGCGGCAAUGGCCGCGCGCGCAUUAGACCUCCCCAUAGGAAAGCAUUAUUCCUAUGGGGAAAAUCUGACGCUGGAGCUCCAUGAGGACGUCCAGCGUCAGAUAACGGACCAAAAGUCAGUUUGGAUUCCAGAAGCCCUCUAGUGGCUGUCUGUUAGACAUAUAGGGCAGACUUAGAGCUGCAAUGUAAACAUUUCAGUUCUUUGGAACUGCAAUGUUUUACAUUGCAGCACUAAGUGCAAGAGGGUCACAGCACCCAGACUACUUCAAUUAGAUGAAGUGGUCUGGGUGCCUACAGUGUCCCUUUAAUAUAAAGGCUCAAACUAUCUCGACACUGCCGUGCUGUUAGCAGCAUGUCAUUAUUUUCAGGAAAUAAGAAUGCAUACCUCCCAAGUGUCCCUAUUUAGGAUGGACCGUCUCUAUUUUGGAUCCAAAUUCCUCGGUUCCCCUUUCCAUCCUAAUGUCCACCUAUUCUAGGAGCUCCAUUUUGUUGGUGUGUCUGAAUUUAUAAUAGAGCUCCACUGCAAUAAUACUCACAGUAACAUGUCUUUAAACUACAAUAAAUUUAUUUAGAAAUCAGUCUGUGUAAAUAAAAUAAGAUGCUCAUUUUCUAAAUUACAUUCUAGUUGCAUAACUUAUUAUUAGUAAGUCACCUAGAACUUUCUCAGAACAGCUACACCCCUCUUUACACCCCUAAAAUCAAAGUAUCCCUCUUUGUCCAUUUAAGAUGUUGGGACAGAUGGUUGUGUGUUUCCCUGUUACAAACUUCUCACUUUUAAUGCUCAUUAAAUAUCAUACUGCAUUCUUUUUGGAGCAAUGUUUAACAGACCAGUGAGAGAUAUGAGUGUAGAAGGUAUGUGCAUACAUUCCUCAAAAUAUCCAGUUUUGCCUGUUUAGAAGGUGGUUGAAAGGCAUGUACUAGGCUGCCUGACAUAUCCUUAUAUCAACAAGACUGGUGCCUUUUUACUUGGUGGUGCAGCAUCAAUAUGGAUUAUUUUUGUAUUUGCUGUCACUGUAUCUUACUAGUUCCUCCAUGAAAGGAUAGGCAGCUAAUUUUGCAAUUCGUGUUCCUCUAGUGAAUGAAUGAAAGAUUGCAUAAGUGCCUUUUUAUAAGACUACAUACUAGUUUGGAUUAGGAGUAGAAUUUAGGUUUUUCGAUUCCUCCUUGACAGCAACUCAAACUAUAUAUAGUGCUACUGCCCACUUGUUAAUGAUGACAACUUCCAAUGUAGUAGCACUGCUCACUCCUACCUACACCUGCAUUCACAUACUGUCAUGCCGCACUAAUACAACUUAGCAUUCAUAAUAUGACGCUACACACAAAUUCGCACCUAUAUUUGUACACUGACACAACACACAAAUACACCACUGUAUUCACAAUUCAUUGUAGUAAAGUCUGCGUGCACAGUUGUGCUAACAAACCGCAAUGUAAUAGCCAUUGAGGUCUUUACAAGCCCUCAAGACUAGGGUUAACUCUAAUGGAUAAUGUUUGUAUGUUGAAGAGUGUCAUAUCAUUAAGGUAAUUAAGGUUUUACUUUGGUUAGACCUUAGCCAUCUGUGGUACACUGCUGCAGUAGAGCAGGGCUUGACAAUUGUGCCAUGAAACCU